GACGAACGCUGGCGGCGCGCCUAACACAUGCAAGUCGAACGAGCGAGAGAGAGCUUGCUUUCUUGAGCGAGUGGCGAACGGGUGAGUAACGCGUGAGGAACCUGCCUCAAAGAGGGGGACAACAGUUGGAAACGACUGCUAAUACCGCAUAAGCCCACGGUGCCGCAUGGCAUAGAGGGAAAAGGAGCAAUCCGCUUUGAGAUGGCCUCGCGUCCGAUUAGCUAGUUGGUGAGGUAACGGCCCACCAAGGCGACGAUCGGUAGCCGGACUGAGAGGUUGAACGGCCACAUUGGGACUGAGACACGGCCCAGACUCCUACGGGAGGCAGCAGUGGGGAAUAUUGCACAAUGGGGGAAACCCUGAUGCAGCGACGCCGCGUGGAGGAAGAAGGUCUUCGGAUUGUAAACUCCUGUUGUUGGGGAAGAUAAUGACGGUACCCAACAAGGAAGUGACGGCUAACUACGUG
RNAcentral lists this ribosomal RNA (466 nucleotides) under uncultured bacterium. RNAcentral describes it as "partial 16S ribosomal RNA". It matches the Rfam family "Bacterial small subunit ribosomal RNA", at positions 28 to 507 of the family's 1533-position model. The record is from RNAcentral.